GGAAGAGUCAGUUCAGAGCAGAGAGACCACUGUGGAGAGAAGAGAGCAGCAAAAGCGGAAAAGAAACGGACUGUGCCAAUCAUUGAAUCAGGAUGCUUGUUCUCAUCAUGACGACUCUGCUCUUCUCUGUGGGACGCAGCAAGACUGACACAGGUGCAUCAGUGUGGGGAACACCAUUCUGUGAUAAUAGAUUCUGUAUCACUCUUAGUGAAGGAGAAAUAAGAGCAGAGGCUGGACUCUGUGUUGUGAUACCGUGUUCUUUCACCACCAGUUAUUACUUUACACCCCAAAAUAUAGUUUGGUACAAAUGUGAACCAUCCAAACAAAA
This is a long non-coding RNA of Perca flavescens (yellow perch), 328 nucleotides long. RefSeq lists it as uncharacterized. The record is from RefSeq and is a predicted model, not a curated record. The transcript is spliced from 3 exons. Lineage: Eukaryota; Metazoa; Chordata; Actinopteri; Perciformes; Percidae.